This 1371-nucleotide ribosomal RNA is filed under the name uncultured bacterium. Its description in RNAcentral is "bacterial SSU rRNA". It matches the Rfam family "Bacterial small subunit ribosomal RNA", at positions 28 to 1381 of the family's 1533-position model. The record is from RNAcentral.
GAUGAACGCUGGCGGCGUGCCUAAUACAUGCAAGUCGAGCGAACGGACGAGAAGCUUGCUUCUCUGAUGUUAGCGGCGGACGGGUGAGUAACACGUGGAUAACCUACCUAUAAGACUGGGAUAACUUCGGGAAACCGGAGCUAAUACCGGAUAAUAUUUUGAACCGCAUGGUUCAAAAGUGAAAGACGGUCUUGCUGUCACUUAUAGAUGGAUCCGCGCUGCAUUAGCUAGUUGGUAAGGUAACGGCUUACCAAGGCAACGAUGCAUAGCCGACCUGAGAGGGUGAUCGGCCACACUGGAACUGAGACACGGUCCAGACUCCUACGGGAGGCAGCAGUAGGGAAUCUUCCGCAAUGGGCGAAAGCCUGACGGAGCAACGCCGCGUGAGUGAUGAAAGUCUUCGGAUCGUAAAACUCUGUUAUUAGGGAAGAACAUAUGUGUAAGUAACUGUGCACAUCUUGACGGUACCUAAUCAGAAAGCCACGGCUAACUACGUGCCAGCAGCCGCGGUAAUACGUAGGUGGCAAGCGUUAUCCGGAAUUAUUGGGCGUAAAGCGCGCGUAGGCGGUUUUUUAGUCUGAUGUGAAAGCCCACGGCUCAACCGUGGAGGGUCAUUGGAAACUGGAAAACUUGAGUGCAGAAGAGGAAAGUGGAAUUCCAUGUGUAGCGGUGAAAUGCGCAGAGAUAUGGAGGAACACCAGUGGCGAAGGCGACUUUCUGGUCUGUAACUGACGCUGAUGUGCGAAAGCGUGGGGAUCAAACAGGAUUAGAUACCCUGGUAGUCCACGCCGUAAACGAUGAGUGCUAAGUGUUAGGGGGUUUCCGCCCCUUAGUGCUGCAGCUAACGCAUUAAGCACUCCGCCUGGGGAGUACGACCGCAAGGUUGAAACUCAAAGGAAUUGACGGGGACCCGCACAAGCGGUGGAGCAUGUGGUUUAAUUCGAAGCAACGCGAAGAACCUUACCAAAUCUUGACAUCCUUUGACAACUCUAGAGAUAGAGCCUUCCCCUUCGGGGGACAAAGUGACAGGUGGUGCAUGGUUGUCGUCAGCUCGUGUCGUGAGAUGUUGGGUUAAGUCCCGCAACGAGCGCAACCCUUAAGCUUAGUUGCCAUCAUUAAGUUGGGCACUCUAAGUUGACUGCCGGUGACAAACCGGAGGAAGGUGGGGAUGACGUCAAAUCAUCAUGCCCCUUAUGAUUUGGGCUACACACGUGCUACAAUGGACAAUACAAAGGGCAGCGAAACCGCGAGGUCAAGCAAAUCCCAUAAAGUUGUUCUCAGUUCGGAUUGUAGUCUGCAACUCGACUACAUGAAGCUGGAAUCGCUAGUAAUCGUAGAUCAGCAUGCUACGGUGAAUACGUUCCCGGGUCU